Medicago truncatula (barrel medic) is the source of this 1015-nucleotide long non-coding RNA. RefSeq lists it as uncharacterized. Lineage: Eukaryota; Viridiplantae; Streptophyta; Magnoliopsida; Fabales; Fabaceae. The transcript has 3 exons. The record is from RefSeq and is a predicted model, not a curated record.
GAGCUAGUAUCAUUCGUAAAGGUAAAUACAUAACUUGAUGAUACUUUGCAAUUGUGCACUGAUUAUAUUUCAAUGUUGGUUAUUAAAAUUCUAUUAUUCAAAAGAAAAGCUAGCAGCUGUUGCUUAUCAAAAUUCACAAGAAUAAGAAUAGAAUAAAAUUUCAAAACAUAGCAGGGAACUACCUUUUGUUUAUAUGCUAUUUCCAAGUUCAGUAUUUUUCUACUGUUUUUCAUGUUCUUGGUUUAGCAAGGAAGUCUUGCUAUAGUUAAUUUGGAAAGCCUUUCUUGGCACGAUAAAGAGUCAAAUGCUUAACUGUGCUCUAAGGGCUCUGGUUGUUAAGGAUUCCUAAGAAAAUAUGUAGCAUUGGUUAGCAGGGUUAAACGUUACACUCUUCUAUGAAUAAUUUUCAAAUUCCUCACGUGUUUUUAGAACAUUGUUUAGCAAGGAUUUAAAUAAGAAUGAUGUCUUUUAUUUUUAUUUAUUUUUUCCUCUUCUUCCCUUUUCUGACUUCCGUCUCUCAACAACAUUUUUUUGGUUUGAUACCAUUGCCGCUUUCUGCUGCAUUUAUACCAAGGAGAUCUCGGACAUGAACAAUAAAGAGAAGUGAGAAGCUGCUCAUAAGAAGAAAGAAAAAGGGGAAUCAUUGCACCGACGUCGUGAAUAUGCAAGAGCUUCUAAAAGAUUUGAGAAGGCUCUAAAGUUCAUAGAGAAUGAUAUUUCCUUCAGUGAUGAGGAGAAGAGAUAUGUCAAGGACUUGAAGGUUUAUAUUGAUCUGGGAAUUGAUGGAUGCAAUAGGGGAUUAAAUGAGAAUGAUGAACGAAGAAAUCAAAUUUGUGAGGCGUAUGGAUAUUAAGGCGAUGCAUAUGAUGUAGUACAUUCUCGCUUCUAUGCAAUACAUUGUCAAGUUCUGGACCGUGCAUAUGAUGUCAAGUUGAAGUCAGAGCAUGGUUUAUUUUGUUUGUCUCUCUGUUUGUGAUUUACUGUCAUGCUCUCAAACUAGUGUUUCAUCAUAUUG